This 85-nucleotide transfer RNA is filed under the name Acidiferrobacteraceae bacterium. RNAcentral's name for it is "tRNA-Leu". It matches the Rfam family "tRNA". From Rfam's summary of the family: Transfer RNA (tRNA) molecules are approximately 80 nucleotides in length. The record is from RNAcentral. Lineage: Bacteria; Pseudomonadati; Pseudomonadota; Gammaproteobacteria; Acidiferrobacterales; Acidiferrobacteraceae.
GCGAAAGUGGCGGAAUUGGUAGACGCGCUGGUUUUAGGUGCCAGUGGGGCGACCCGUGGGAGUUCGAAUCUCCCCUUUCGCACCA